Molecule: long non-coding RNA, 1448 nt
Organism: Mus musculus (house mouse)
Lineage: Eukaryota; Metazoa; Chordata; Mammalia; Rodentia; Muridae
Product: predicted gene, 41707
Exons: 4
Source: RefSeq, a predicted model, not a curated record
AGACACUAGGGUUUUGCAUUCUCUUGAAUUCCUUUAUUGGUAGAUAAUUCAUUUUGUAAAAAUGAUCAAAUAAAAUAUUGCAAUAUUGGCUCAGAUUUUAUCUUUUAGACAAUUAUUCUAGCUUACAUCGUCAACUCCAGAAGACAGCCAUUAGCAGUCUGGACAAGCUUGUCACUGUCCUCUGUCCUCAACCUUGUUGUAAUGAAGAGUGAGGAGACACAGGACUUCUUCUCCAGUGGAUUCAUCUGAGGUACCUGAAGAGUCCGGAAGAAGGUGUGAGAAUAUUUGGAGCCUGAGUUACAGGGGGUUGCAUGCCCCAGUUAGGACUGCUUGGAACAGAACUCAGGUCCUCUGGAAUAGCAGCAAGUGCUUAUUGGCCAUUUCUCCCUCCAGCUUAACAUGGGUUACUCUUAAAGAGAAGAUUCAAAGAAACACGAAGAAGCCAGCUCUGACUCCAAGGAACAAGGUGGAGAGUUUAGUGAGCAGCCCUGCCCAUUUGUGCCUGGACCCCUUCUUUGCUCCCCUUCUGCUAAGCUGCCUUUGUGUUUGGACACCGUGGGAGCCUCAGCAGCUGCAGGAGGGCCUGGGCUCUUCAGAGAUGUCCCUGCACUGUUCUGGCUGCUGCCUCAGGGAGAUCUCUUUUAGAAAUGGACAAGCCAAUUUUGAGGAUGUAGAAAACAUUAGAAGUGUGACACACAUGGUCACUUGUGAUUAAGAUGGAUGCAAUAUGGAUUAUAAUUGAGCUUCUACUAUGUUCCGGAUGAUGAGUAAGGCAGGUAACAAUGGCCAAGUGAAGCAGUGAGAUUGGUCUGUGUUCAAAUCCUAGCUCUGCUCUUCCACACUCCCACAACCACUGCCACCAUAGUUAAUCAGAGUCUUCUGGGGAAAGGCAAGAGAGGCAUGAAGGCAGGCACAACUUUAAAAAGGCAUCUAAGGGUGCUUGGGUGUAACAAGUUCUCAGCCCAACCACUUGGGCAAAGAAACACCCUGAUAAAUGGCUAGUGGUUUCCAUUAAUGCAUCUGGCAGGGGCAUUCAAGGGCAUUUUAUUUGUCCAAUAGAGUGAAUUAGUUUGCUCAUGAGCACAGAAGUAUCCAAAUGAGUGUCCCUUAUCUGAUCAAGUCCAUCCCAAUGACCCACAUUUGAAUGCAAAGCCAAGAUCUGUCACUAGCUAAAUGUGACUCAGGGCACACCCCCUGGUUUCCUGAUCUCUUACCAGGAACCAUAAGGGGACAGCAGUGGGGAAAUAUCUUCUACUUUUAGAUACUUUGAAGAGUAGUAAACACAAUUUAAAAGUCCUUAACAAAUUGGAUGACAUAUGCAGGCUGAGAAACUGGGUGAUAUUUGCGGGGCGAGCGUUUUCUUUUUCACAGUGUUUUCUUUGACUUCCACACCUGUAUGCUUUCUCCUUUGUUGCAUGUUAUCAGACAUCCACUAGCUAGAACUUUUG